RNAcentral lists this ribosomal RNA (205 nucleotides) under uncultured bacterium. Its description in RNAcentral is "partial 16S ribosomal RNA". It matches the Rfam family "Bacterial small subunit ribosomal RNA", at positions 568 to 774 of the family's 1533-position model. The record is from RNAcentral.
UGCGCAGGCGGUUUUGUAAGACAGGUGUGAAAUCCCCGGGCUUAACCUGGGAACUGCGCUUGUGACUGCAAGGCUAGAGUACGGCAGAGGGGGUGGAAUUCCACGUGUAGCAGUGAAAUGCGUAGAUAUGUGGAGGAACACCGAUGGCGAAGGCAGCCCCCUGGGCCGAUACUGACGCUCAUGCACGAAAGCGUGGGAGCAAACA